Magallana angulata is the source of this 472-nucleotide long non-coding RNA. RefSeq lists it as uncharacterized. The record is from RefSeq and is a predicted model, not a curated record. The transcript is spliced from 4 exons. NCBI's taxonomy places the organism in Eukaryota, Metazoa, Mollusca, Bivalvia, Ostreida, Ostreidae.
CCGGAUAUAAGGGUUGGGGAGGUAGUGUCGGUGUGUCGUUUUCAUGGAGGAAAAAAAGGCGUUCUGCAAAGGAACAGGUAUUUGAUGUUAUGAUGUACAUGGUAAACACGAACUCCGGAAGUAGAUUUAGACUCAACCCGUGUGAUUUUGCUCUAUAUGACCAAGAUGACGAUCUAGCGGUGACUAUGACGGAUUUUGAUAUACUAUUUUCUGAAAUGGAGGAGAGGGAACACAACUUAGUGGAACAGCUUUUUAUGGAGUUUGAUCUGGAUAGUGAUCAGAAAAUAUCUUUAAUGGAAUUCGAGGAAAAACAAGAUACUGUGUUCUCCAAAAGCACAUGUUCUAUCGAAGCUUUGUAGAAUCGUCCAAGAUGAACGAAAACAAAUUGCCUUUAAAUCAGAGGAGCAUUCGAUUUUUUACUACCUAUUUCGUGUUUUCUCUCUUAAAUACCAUAAAAUACAAAUAAAAAAAA